RNAcentral lists this transfer RNA (65 nucleotides) under Agathymus mariae. RNAcentral's name for it is "tRNA-Met". The record is from RNAcentral. RNAcentral also lists the same sequence under 6 other names. Lineage: Eukaryota; Metazoa; Arthropoda; Insecta; Lepidoptera; Hesperiidae.
UUUAAGAUAAGCUAAUAAAAGCUUUUGGGUUCAUACCCCAAAUAUAAAGUGAAUAUCUUUUCUUA